UGUGAGAAGUAGGCAAAUCCGCUUCUCGCGAAGCAUGAGCUGUGAUGGGGAAGGAAAUUAAGUACGGAAGUUCCUGAUUUCACGCUGUCAAGAAAAGCCUCUAGGAAGAGUAGUACUGCCCGUACCGAAAACCGACACAGGUAGAUGAGGAGAGAAUCCUAAGGUGAGCGAGAGAACUCUCGUUAAGGAACUCGGCAAAAUGACCCCGUAACUUCGGGAGAAGGGGUGCUCUAUUAGGGUGCAAGCCCGAGAGAG
RNAcentral lists this ribosomal RNA (255 nucleotides) under Listeria monocytogenes. RNAcentral describes it as "partial 23S ribosomal RNA". It matches the Rfam family "Bacterial large subunit ribosomal RNA", at positions 1524 to 1776 of the family's 2925-position model. Lineage: Bacteria; Bacillati; Bacillota; Bacilli; Caryophanales; Listeriaceae. The record is from RNAcentral.